AGACGUCUACAUUAGAUACCCGGGUAGUCCCAGCCGUAAACUAUGCGCGUUAGGUGUAUCGGUGACCACGAGUCACCGAGGUGCCGAAGGGAAACCGUGAAACGUGCCGCCUGGGAAGUACGGUCGCAAGGCUGAAACUUAAAGGAACUGGCGGGGGAGCACCACAACGGGUGGAGCCUGCGGUUUAAUUGGACUCAACGCCGGGAAGCUCACCGGAUAAGACAGCGGAAUGAUUGCCGGGCUGAAGACUCUGCAUGACUAGCUG
This 265-nucleotide ribosomal RNA is filed under the name uncultured archaeon. RNAcentral describes it as "partial 16S ribosomal RNA". It matches the Rfam family "Archaeal small subunit ribosomal RNA", at positions 717 to 982 of the family's 1478-position model. The record is from RNAcentral.